AGCUCUAAUAGCGUAUAUUAAUGUUGUUGCAGUUAAAAAGCUCGUAGUUGGAUUUUGGUGUUCGACAAAUGGUCUGCUUCGGUUUGUACUGUUUGUUGGCGCUUCUUUUCUGGGGAACUCACUGCUCUUAACUGAGGGGUGUUGUAACGCAGAUCGUUUACUUUGAAAAAAUUAGAGUGUUCAAAGCAGGCCAACGCAUUUUGAAUACAUUAGCAUGGAAUAAUGGAAUAGGACUUUGGUCUUAUUUUGUUGGUUUCUAAGGCCGAGGUAAUGAUUAAUAGGGAUAGUUGGGGGCGUUUAUAUUCCGUUGUCAGAGGUGAAAUUCUUGGAUUUACGGAAGAUAAACUACUGCGAAAGCAUUCGCCAAGGAUGUUUUCAUUA
This 381-nucleotide ribosomal RNA is filed under the name Leucocryptos sp. Its description in RNAcentral is "partial small subunit ribosomal RNA". It matches the Rfam family "Eukaryotic small subunit ribosomal RNA", at positions 587 to 975 of the family's 1831-position model. RNAcentral also lists the same sequence under 1 other name. The record is from RNAcentral. Lineage: Eukaryota; Cryptophyceae; Kathablepharidacea; Katablepharidaceae.